GACGAACGCUGGCGGCGUGCCUAAUACAUGCAAGUCGAGCGCUGAGGGCUGGUACUUGUCCCGACUGGGUGAGCCGCGAACGGGUGAGUAACGCGUGGGGAAUCUGCCUUUGAGCGGGGGACAACAUUUGGAAACGAAUGCUAAUACCGCAUAAAAACUUUAAACACAAGUUUUAAGUUUGAAAGAUGCAAUUGCAUCACUCAAAGAUGAUCCCGCGUUGUAUUAGCUAGGUGGUGAGGUAAAAGCUCAUCAAGGCGGGGUUACAUAGCCGACCUGAGUGGGUGGGCGGCCGGAGUGGGAGUGAGACACGGCCCAAUGGCCCAGGGGAGGCGGCAAGAGGGAAUCGGGGGGAAUGGGCGAGAGUCUUACCGAGAAACGCCGCGGGAGUAAAGAAGGUUGUCGCGUCGUAAAACUCUGUUGGUGGGGAAGAACGUUGGUGAGAGUGUAAAGCUCAUUAAGUGACGGUAACUACCCAGAAAGGGACGGCUAACUACGUG
This 497-nucleotide ribosomal RNA is filed under the name uncultured bacterium. Its description in RNAcentral is "partial 16S ribosomal RNA". It matches the Rfam family "Bacterial small subunit ribosomal RNA", at positions 28 to 507 of the family's 1533-position model. The record is from RNAcentral.